GAUGAACGCUGGCGGCGUGCCUAAUACAUGCAAGUCGAGCGAACAGACGAGGAGCUUGCUCCUCUGACGUUAGCGGCGGACGGGUGAGUAACACGUGGAUAACCUACCUAUAAGACUGGGAUAACUUCGGGAAACCGGAGCUAAUACCGGAUAAUAUAUUGAACCGCAUGGUUCAAUAGUGAAAGACGGUUUUGCUGUCACUUAUAGAUGGAUCCGCGCCGCAUUAGCUAGUUGGUAAGGUAACGGCUUACCAAGGCAACGAUGCAUAGCCGACCUGAGAGGGUGAUCGGCCACACUGGAACUGGGACACGUUCCAGACUCCUACGGGAGGCAGCAGUAGGGAAUCAUCCGCAAUGGGCGAAAGCCUGACGGAGCAACGCCGCGUGAGUGAUGAAGGUCUUCGGAUCGUAAAACUCUGUUAUUAGGGAAGAACAAAUGUGUAAGUAACUAUGCACGUCUUGACGGUACCUAAUCAGAAAGCCACGGCUAACUACGUG
Molecule: ribosomal RNA, 497 nt
Filed under: uncultured bacterium
Lineage: Bacteria
Description: partial 16S ribosomal RNA
Rfam family: Bacterial small subunit ribosomal RNA
Source: RNAcentral